This 253-nucleotide ribosomal RNA is filed under the name uncultured bacterium. Its description in RNAcentral is "partial 16S ribosomal RNA". It matches the Rfam family "Bacterial small subunit ribosomal RNA", at positions 524 to 776 of the family's 1533-position model. The record is from RNAcentral.
UACGUAGGGUGCGAGCGUUGUCCGGAAUUACUGGGCGUAAAGCGUGCGCAGGCGGUUUUGUAAGUCUGACGUGAAAUCCCCGGGCUCAACCUGGGAAUUGCGUUGGAGACUGCAAGGCUGGAGUCUGGCAGAGGGGGGUAGAAUUCCACGUGUAGCAGUGAAAUGCGUAGAGAUGUGGAGGAACACCGAUGGCGAAGGCAGCCCCCUGGGUCAAGACUGACGCUCAUGCACGAAAGCGUGGGGAGCAAACAGG